CAUAACUAUUGAAGAAGACUUUGAUAUUGGGCCUAUAGAAUGUGACCGAGGCCCAUAGACGGCCCCGACGGUGACACGAACCCUCCGUCAAACGACGAACCGCCGUUGCCUCUUCCUCGAAGCUCCAUUUCUGAUAGCAACCUCCGCACACUCCGGCUACUUCUCUGGCGAAUCCGAUCGCAUCCUCCGACGAGAAUCUUUGCAUCUUCCUGCGACAUUCUCCGACGCCGUUAACUUCUCUCAGGGCAUUAUGUCAAACACUUCUGCUCAACAGAUCUGUCAGGUCUAUGUAGAAUGCGUUUCUCUUCCAAGUAUGCCUCGUGUUAACUGGCAUUGCAAAUACUGCGAGAAAAAGUCCAUGAGCGAAACUGCUGAAGAUUACAAUGUUAAAUUGUUCUGCAUUUGGGCAACUAGAAGGAGUUGAUCCUGUUGAAUGAUCACUUAGCUGGACGAUGCAUUCAUGUUGUCAAGAACAUGGAAGCUAAAACAUAUGUGUGUGUAUUAUGCAGGAAUGACCUAAAGGAAAUCUGUUUGGAUAUACCAUUAGAUUUGCUUUCAGAUUCUUCUUUGGGAAUAAUACAGAUGAAGCAAGAGAUAACUGGUGUAGAUUCCACCAGUGAUCUUGACAUCAUAUGAAGCAAGAGAGAACUGAUGUAGAUUCCACCAGUGAUCUUGACAUCAGAUCAGCGGCAAAGUUACUUCUCCUGAAACCCAAAUGUUACUGUCUCAGGCAUUGGCUAGUUUUCAUGAUUACUUUGGUCCUAUCUAUAGUUGAUCCAAUUUAUUGGCACAAUCUUAUUCCGAGAAUGGUGCACUGGAAGACUAUGCAGGGACGACUAUGGGGGAAUCUGCUGUGCUGCUAUGACUGUUAAUGCAUCUGUUGUUUCUGCUGGACUUCCAUUAGUUGCAACUCACAUGCGCAGCCGAGAGAAGGCUUCCAGCAGCUGAAGAGGCAGAGCCCUUAUGGAUGGGUUCAGAAAACUCGCAUGUGACUCGUUUGUAAAUUGUGUAGUUUCUGAAAUUUGUCUCAUGAAGAUAUUAAGAUAUGCUACCAUAUGGUGAGGUUCAAAGGAGCAUAUCCAUGCUGCGGAAACCAGUCAAUUGGCACCGAAUCACUGACAAUAAAAUAGAAACCGGUGUGUAUCUUAGAAGAAAAUUUUGAUUUGAAAUUUGUAAGCAAGUCAUGGAUUUGGUGAAAGAUGGAUUAAAGAGUGAAGUGUUUAGGUUUUAAAUGAGUUCUUACAACAUAUACUUGUGUAUAUUAUUUGUAGAUGUGAAGUUCUUUUAUAUUACAUUGUAGGUUCACAA
Arabidopsis lyrata subsp. lyrata is the source of this 1308-nucleotide long non-coding RNA. RefSeq lists it as uncharacterized. The transcript is spliced from 7 exons. Lineage: Eukaryota; Viridiplantae; Streptophyta; Magnoliopsida; Brassicales; Brassicaceae. The record is from RefSeq and is a predicted model, not a curated record.